UAUUUAUGUAAACGUGUAAUUUAUAAAUUAAUUUAGACUAAAACUUUCAGUAAUACAACUCUUAUAUCGCAAUUUAUAAAGUGAUAAAGUGUAACAUUGGUGGCCAUUACAAAACCUAAACUUUUUAUCAGAACAAAUGUCCAUUUGAUGUUUCGGCGACGUUGUGACUAAUCUCACGGAAAGCUAACUAAAAAUCGCGUAUUGUGCUUUUAUUUACUGCAUAUAGGAAUCCUAAAGUGCUGUGAACUUAAUUAUUGAGAAUCCUUGUUGUAAAUUAUUUCAAAACGUUUUGUGCCGAACGACAAUUAUUGGGGUUGACUUCUCACAAGGAACUGUCAAUUGUUACAUUUUUUCGAUACAUUCAUUUCUUUUAUCGACAAAUAUUAAUUAGCCGAACACGUAUAACAUUAGUUACCCGAAGAUUGGCUGUCUGCAUGGCGAUUUUGUGUAACAAAAAUGAUUUUGAGAUAAAUUGUCUAAUAGUGCAGUGGUCAUAGUAUUGAAGUGAA
Molecule: long non-coding RNA, 509 nt
Organism: Trichoplusia ni (cabbage looper)
Lineage: Eukaryota; Metazoa; Arthropoda; Insecta; Lepidoptera; Noctuidae
Exons: 2
Source: RefSeq, a predicted model, not a curated record